This 906-nucleotide ribosomal RNA is filed under the name Setomelanomma holmii. Its description in RNAcentral is "LSU rRNA". It matches the Rfam family "Eukaryotic large subunit ribosomal RNA", at positions 36 to 961 of the family's 3401-position model. Lineage: Eukaryota; Fungi; Ascomycota; Dothideomycetes; Pleosporales; Phaeosphaeriaceae. The record is from RNAcentral.
UAGCAUAUCAAUAAGCGGAGGAAAAGAAACCAACAGGGAUUGCCCUAGUAACGGCGAGUGAAGCGGCAACAGCUCAAAUUUGAAAUCUGGCUCUUUCAGGGUCCGAGUUGUAAUUUGCAGAGGGCGCUUUGGUGUCGGCAGCGGUCCAAGUUCCUUGGAACAGGACGUCACAGAGGGUGAGAAUCCCGUACGUGGUCGCUAGCCUUCGCCGUGUAAAGCCCCUUCGACGAGUCGAGUUGUUUGGGAAUGCAGCUCUAAAUGGGAGGUAAAUUUCUUCUAAAGCUAAAUACUGGCCAGAGACCGAUAGCGCACAAGUAGAGUGAUCGAAAGAUGAAAAGCACUUUGGAAAGAGAGUCAAAUAGCACGUGAAAUUGUUGAAAGGGAAGCGCUUGCAGCCAGACUUGCCUGUAGUUGCUUAUCCGGACUUUUGUCCGGUGCACUCUUCUGCGGGCAGGCCAGCAUCAGUUUGGGCGGUUGGAUAAAGGUCUCUGUCAUGUACCUCUCUUCGGGGAGGCCUUAUAGGGGAGACGACAUGCAACCAGCCUGGACUGAGGUCCGCGCAUCUGCUAGGAUGCUGGCGUAAUGGCUGUAAGCGGCCCGUCUUGAAACACGGACCAAGGAGUCUAACAUCUAUGCGAGUGUUUGGGUGUCAAGCCCAGACGCGUAAUGAAAGUGAACGGAGGUGGGAACCCUUUGGGUGCACCAUCGACCGAUCCUGAUGUCUUCGGAUGGAUUUGAGUAAGAGCAUGGCUGUUGGGACCCGAAAGAUGGUGAACUAUGCUUGAAUAGGGUGAAGCCAGAGGAAACUCUGGUGGAGGCUCGCAGCGGUUCUGACGUGCAAAUCGAUCGUCAAAUUUGGGCAUAGGGGCGAAAGACUAAUCGAACUAUCUUGUAGCUGGUCUUGCC